This 16084-nucleotide long non-coding RNA is filed under the name Marmota monax (woodchuck). The record is from RNAcentral. Lineage: Eukaryota; Metazoa; Chordata; Mammalia; Rodentia; Sciuridae.
UUUAUACCACAAAUGUCAAAAGUCUUGAUGUCCUAUUUUGAAAGAGAAGUUAUUUAAGAAUAACCAUGUUUGAAACCUGGAAAUGGUUUGGGAUUAAGGUCUUUCAACAGAAGAUUCCUAUGAAGUUUAUGGGGAAACUAAUGCCUAGAAAGGUAAGGUCCUUUUUCUUAGUUAAAUGGAGAGACAAGGCUCAGUGUUCUUAAGGAGAGCCUUGGCUGAUUCCGUGAUCACCUUCAUUGAGGCAUCUUUAAUACCCAUAUUCUGGUAUUAAAGGCAGCGACCAAUCUAGUUUGUUGAACUGGGGCAGUGGUUGGCCCAGCGUAAGAACCCGUACCUAGUGCUGCUCCAGACACUUCACCUGCAUCCCUCCUUGUAGCUCCUACAAUGCUCCUAUUUGGUAGCUGCUGCUGUUAUUUCCAUUUUAUGGAUACAGAGACAUGGUCCCGGUGCAGCUGCACUAUUGGCUCAAGCUCACCUGGCUCGUAAAGAGACAGCCAGAGAUCCAUUUUCAGAAGCUGAGUGUAUACCAGCAUUAUCAAUUUAGGAAGAAAUGGUUAUUCUAAAAAAACAGUAUCUUUAUUUUGACAUAAGAAAAUGUCCACUUGUGAGAGAGCAGACACUCGACCUGAAUUCUUCUUAACAACGUUUGAACUGGGAAGACAUUGGUACUACAACUUCCUGGGGACUUUAUUAUGGCAGAGAAUAUUGGAAUACCAUUAGAGAUGUGAAUUUUUAUUAUUGAGUAAAUCUAAACUAAAAGUGCUUAUUGGAUAUAACUGGACAUAUUAAGUAUCUGAGCAAAAGAACAAAAUUUUCACGUGUUUCAACUUUUUUUUUUAACUUCUAUAUUUUAGUAACCACCACUAGUAGAUAAUAGCAACACUGAGGAAUUUUGUACUUAAUAUUAAAAUCAGAAGAGAUAACGUGUGAAACUUUUUCUUCAUUGACACUUUUGUCUACAUGAUUAGUAUUACUUCUGAUAACCACCACAGUUGUGAUUCCAGUGGUUCCAAUUUCAAUUUAUAAAUAAGAACCAUGAAUAUUUGGCUAACCUAUCAAAUCAUAUGUGUGAGAGGCAAAAACCAGUGUAUUACUUGGAACCAGAGAUUCUGGGUUGAAAAUCCAAUGCCAUUUUUACUGCACUUCAUUUUUCUAAUGGCUUAUUUCAGAGACAAAAUAGGAAAGAAAUUGUAUAAUAUGGAUGAUGUAGAAGGAUAAACUAUUCUAAUUUCUAUUAGUCCCAUUAGAUCAACUGAUCUCGGAUGUGGGAUUUUCCGUUGCUAGACUUAGAAAUCCCCAGAAAACGACAUGGGUGAAUCAUCUUUUAUAAACCUGAAUGUUUAGAUGAUUUAAAACAAAACAACUGUUGGCAUUAAUAGCCAAGUUUAUUUUUUUAAUAUAUGAAAAGUUUAGCACGUUAUUAGGUCAGUUGUGACUGUGAAUAAAUUAAUAAAUAAAUGAGGUUAUUUAUGACUCCCAUUAAAAACAGGAGGAAAUAAAGACAGCAGAGUGUGAAUGCUCUAUUUCAACUCAUUAAAAACACAUAAUCAUAAAGCCUAGGACCAUGAAGAAGGCUUGAGUGGAGGGAAGUUAGUGACCAGUGAGAUCUGAAAUAUUGUUCAGACUCAGGUCAGAUAUUUCCCCCUGAGGGUUUAAUGAGAGAUUGAUGAAGUUUAGAACAAAACACUGUUUUUUUCCUCAGUUAAACGGAAAAUAUAAAUGGAAUUUCUAUCAUUUUAUCAGUAUGAAGUUGCAGACUAAAGCUUGCAACUUCUUCAAAGUAUUAAUGAUCAGUAUCAUUAAUUGCAAACCUACUCUGUUCCAGACAUUGUUGUAGAUGUUUUACAUUUAAUCAUCACCACAACUAUGUGAAAGAGGUAUUUUUGUUUAAUCGGUGGGGAAACUGAGGCAUCUUUGACAUGGCAAAGCUGGAAUGCAAACUCAAAUGGUCCUAGAGUCCAUGUGUUUAAUUUCUAUGUUGCAUCCAAAGGUGUGGCAGGAAAUGGGUACUUCUAUUUCUGGACAACGCUCACUUUGAAAUAAUUUUCAACUGUAUGAGAAGCAAGGCAGUAGGAAAGGAGAAGGAGGUACUGCAGGGUGAGUGGUAGAGUGUGGGAAGAAAUAUUGACUGGUGCAUUAUUAGUGGGAUUCUCAGAUGCUUGAUUCUCCCUUUCUCCUGCGUUCUCAUCAAACAGUCUUCCCUUCAGUGGCAGUGUCCAUACUACCUUGGUACUUGCAUUGUUAACACACCCACAUAAGAUAUGAGGAAAAGGAAAUGUCAGGUCUAUACAGCAAUCCCUCUUUACCCACACAUCCACAUGUACCGAUCUCCUGAGGAUAUCUUUGUUUCAUUCUGUACCUUAUUUAUUUUUUAAUGGAAUUAUAUCACAGUAAUCUUUCAUAAUUGGAUUACAAGGGCCCACGUAUUAUAGCAAUAUUUCUGCAGAAAAGUUCAUUACAAUUUUUAAUACUCGAGAUGAAAUUAAGAGAAUGUUCUCUGCCUUUGUGAUUAGACUGAGAUCUACAGGUACAAAUUUUUUUCUAUAGAGUGAUUUUUAAUUGUCAGCUUAGUAAAUAGAAUAAGCUUAGACUGUGGAGUCAGUUACAAACUUCAAAAGAAAUAUAUUCAUUCUAGGUCUUUUUCUGUUCAGAAUAUUUUAUCUGGUCUUUUCUAUAAGAAGACAUUAUUUUGGACUUUCCCAAUGAAAAUAUUCUCUUCAUUCUUUUUUAAAUUUUAUUCUUUAAAAUUUUCAUGUGUUUUAGUUAGUUAUACAUGACAGUAGAAUGCACUUAUGCACUUUGAUAUAUCAUACAUAGAUAUAAUUUCAUUUUUCUGAGUAUACAUGUUGCAGAAUCAUAUUGGUCAUGUAGUUUUAUAUAUAUAUAUAUAUAUAUAUAUAUAUAUAUAUAUAUAUAUAUAUAUACAGUAAUAAUGUCCAUUUCAUUCUACUAUCUUUCCUAUCCCCACAUCCUUUCUUCUCCCCUCCCAUCACUUCCUGCUACCUAAUCUAAGGUAACACUAUUCUUCCCUAGUGUGGUAGAGUGUGGGAAGAAAUAUUGACUGUGAAUUAGCAUCUGCAUAUUAGAGAAAACAUUCAGCCUUUGGUUUGGUGGGAUUGGCUUAUUUUGCUUAGCAUGAUAUUUUCCGACUCCAACCAUUUACUGGCAAAAUGCCUUAAUUUCACACUUCUUUAAAGCUGAGUAACAUUCCACCGAGUAUAUAUAUACCACAUUUUCUUUAUCCAUUCAUCUAUUGAGGGAUACCUAGUUUGGUUGCAUAGUCUAGCUAUCGUGAAUUGAGCUGCUAUAAACUUUGAUGUGGCUGAGUCACUACAGUAUGCUGAUUUUAAGUUCUUUGGGUAUGAACCAAGAAGUGGGAUAACUGGGUCAAAUGGUGGUUCCAUUCCCAGUUUUCUGAGGAAUCUCCAUACUGCUUUCCAUAGUGGUUGCACCAAUUUGCAGUCCCACCAGCAAUGUAUGAGUGUGCCUUUUCCCCCACAUCCUCGCCAACAUUUAUUGUUGCCUGUAUUCUUGAUGAUUGCCAUUUUGACAGGAGUGAGAUGAAAUCUUAGAGUAGUUCUGAUUUGCAUUUCUCUAGUUGCUAAAGAUGUUGAACACUUUUUCAUAUAUUUAUUGAUAAAUUGUGUUUCUUCUGUGGAGUGUCUUUUCAGUUCCUUAGCUCAUUUAUUGAUUGGGUUAUUUGUUUUUUUGCUGUUAAGUUUUUUGAGUUCUUUAUAUAUCCUAGAGAUUAAUGCUUUAUCAGAGUUGCAUGUGAUAAAGAUUUUCUCCCAGGGUGGAGGCUCUCUCUUCACAAUAUUAGUUGUUUCCUUUGCUGAGAAGAAGCUUUUUAACUUGAAUCCAUCCCAUUUAUUGAUUCUUAUUUUACUUCUUGAGCAUUAGGAGUCUUGUUAAGGAAGUCAUAUCCUACAACGAAGUGGUGAAGAUUUGGGCCUAUUUUUUCAGAUGGGUACUAGGAACGAAGUUGCUAAAUAUUUCAAACCACUAGUUUCACGUUUUUAAAUGUUUAUGUACAUGUAGAGCAAAGAAAAGGCUUUGGAGUUACAUAGGCUUGGAUUCUUUUUUUCUGUGACAUUAGUCAAGUCUCUGCUCCCCUUUUUCUUUAUCAUUAAAAUAGACAAGGAAGACAGCUUAUGCAGUCUCUAGAAGUAUAAGAAUUAAAUUUGUAGAACUAAAAAUCCUAAUAUAUAGUUGAAAAACAGUAGGUAUAUGUUUAAUACAAGAACUGCCUGUUUCCUAAAAGUUCUAUAUUUCUUGUGGACAAAAAUAGAGCAAAAAUUGAUUAUUAACAGGGACAAGUUUGUCAAAAAAUUUCCCUGCUUCUGAAUUUAUAUCUAUCUACUUAUACAGACCACCAACUUGAACGCUCUCUUCCAUCCUUAAUAGAUGCUAAUGUGUUAAAAGAAAAUGUGCUUAUAUGAUUCAUUCAAAUAGAGUGAUUCCAAUGUUCCUUGUGUAAUUUCAAGUCUAGCCAGAAUCUCAAAAUUUCAAUUAUCUUAAGAGCUGGUGAGGAAAUAUUCCCACGUGUGUCACAUGAACCCAGAGCUGGCAGAGUUAAUGAUCCUGUGAUUAAGAAUUAAGUCUUAUAAAUUAAAAAUUUCUAACAGUUAAGAUAUAAGGUCAUAAGUUAAAAUGAGUAAGUGUUGGCAUUGACAACUCUUCUUCUUGAAGAUUUUUUAAAUGCACCUGAACAAGGAAAUAAGGGUCUAAGAGAAAUAGUGAAGGAUUAACACCUUUUUUUUUUUCUGGAGAGUUUUGAAAUGAAUAUUAUUACCCUUAAGUAUUCAGAAGGCUAAUAUGUACGACCUCAUAUAAAACCUCCAAAAGUUCAAUUGUUACUGUAAAUGAUAUAUAAUUCAGAUACCAUUCUUUUGAGGGAGGUAUUUUUGAAUUCGGAGAGCAAUUAUAAGAAACUGAAUAGUUGUUGCCCUUUAGAACUUUUCUGUGUUCCCAUUCCUUCUACUUUCAUUCUUGUCCUUUUACAUCUUCAUUAGAGGAAUUUAUUAUAAUUGGACAUUUCUAAUUAAAAUGAAGCCCUCAGAAACAAUUGCUUCAGGCACAAGAAAGAAAAUGUUAAUUUUCAGACUGAUGAACAGUAUUUUUAAAUUACAGAAUGAUUUUGUGAACUUCCCUGCCAUGACAACCAGGAGAAAUUUACUACGACUGGGGGAAACUCAAAAUAUAUUAUGUGUUUUAAAUAAUUAUGUUUGUUUGUACUCAAAAGGAUGUGUUUAUUGUGAUACUCCCAUAAAUUCAUAAUGAUGUCUAGAAGGGGCUUAAUGUUUUAUGAUGUAGAUAUUAUAACAUGCUAUAGAAUGCCAACUCUGCCCGUGGAAAGGGAAGCAAUUUAUUCAAGAAGUUCAUGAUACCCAAGGAUUGAGUGGACCAUCUGACUUAGAAUCACAUCUCUAGCCUCCAUGUCUUAACCUUUGCUCCUGUAACUUGUCUUGCUUUGCCUAGAUGAUGCUUCUCCUUCUGUUUCUUCUUUGCAUAUGCUAUUCUCUCUGCUGAAAACACUCUUUUCCAUUCACUGAAAACUCCUCUGUCCACAUCACACUAUAGUACAUAGACUAUUCACUUCCUUCUAUCUGAUAUAAUAAAAAUAAAAUGGAAUUUGGACUCAGAUUGACUUGGGUUUGAACUAAGAUGAUAACAGGAACACUAAUUUUCCACUGAGUCUAAGUUUCCCCAUUUGUGAAAGAAAACUAAAAAUAUCUAGCUCUCAUAUCUCUAGGGCACAUUUCCUGACACCUGUAAGCAUUCAAAUGUGUUUUAUCCCUUUUGUUUAUUUCCCUUCUGGUUUCCAGGAGUCCUAGAAUUUUCUUCAUUAAGAUUUAUUUUCAGAAUUUGUAUUAAGGAAACAAAAUGAAUAAGAUGAAAAUAACCCAGCACACACAAAAGAAUUACCAUCAAGUGAAAUAGAUACUAGUGUACAAAAUGCUAUAGAAAUGAUAUAGACUGUGAUAGGGCUGGGCCAAGCAGGUUUCAUAAAGGAGUUGACAUUUAAGCAGAAUUCUGAAAGGCAUUAUAAGAAAAGGUAACAGUAUGUUCCAAAGCAUGCAAUCAUAAAACAUUGUGACAUGUUCUGAGAACUGCCAGAAAUAUAUAUAGAUGGAUAGGGCAUAGGAAAAAUUAAUAGUAGAAACACUAUUAUUUAGGAAGGCAGAAAACCUAUCACAAAGGACCUUCUGUAAAUGACAUAAAAAGAGGGUUUAUACUCAAUUCUACAGAAAAUGAAGAGUCAUUGGAGAAUUUUUAGCUGGUGAGUCAGUUGUGGUUUUAUAAUAAAUACCCUAGCAAUGAUAAGGAAGAUGGAUUGGGGUGUGUAUAAGAAAGUGUGUGUGUAAGUGUAUGUGUGUGUAAUUGAAUAUGUGCCUGCACACAUUUCACAAAUGAACUUUAUUGAGAUAAAAUUUGCAUGCAAUAAAAUAAAUCCAUUUUAAAUGUACAACUCAAUGUUCCAGUGACAUGAUAUAGACUUGUAACCCUCAUUACAAUUGUAAUACAGAACAUUUCCACCUCUCCAAUCCCUUUGAGCCUCUUUGCAGUCAAUUCCCUCCCACCUCUUCUCAACUUCUGGGGAUCCCUGAUUUGAUUUCUAUGGUUGGCAGGUUUGCCCUUUUGAUUUUUCAUGCAAAUGGAAUCAUAUAAUAUGCACAUUUUAUAUUUGGCUUUUUUCAUUUAGCAUAAUGAUUCUGAGGCUCAUCCACAAUUUUGUGUAUGUCAGUAGUUUGUUUCUUUUUAUUGCUGAACCAUUUAAGAAUGUCCAUUGUAUGAAUACACCACAAUUUGUUGGUACUAUUUAUCAGUUGAUGGACAGGUAGGCUGUUUGGGGGCUUUAUGAACAAAGCCACUGUGAAUAUGCAAAAUGGGAGUCUUUGUGUGGACAUAAGUUUUUUAUUUCUCUUGGGCAAAUACCUACAAAUGGAAUUGCUAGGUCAAAGGGUUGGUGAGGUUGACUUUAUAAGAACACAGCUAAACUUUUCUAAAAGGAUAAUAUCAUUUUUCACUCUGUCCAUAGUGUAAGGGAAUUUUCAUAGCUAUACAUCCUGACCCACGUGGUAUUUUUCAUCUUAAAUUGUAGAUGUUCUUGUGUGUAGUGGUAUUUUAGACACCCUCCAUUCAGCCUUUGAAUAUGCUUAUGUGUCAUCCUUAGAUCUUCUAUUGUGAAGUGUCUAUUCAAAUUUUUGUGGUCAUUUGAAAAAAUGUAUUGUUUGUCAUUAUUUUCCAAUUGAAAGAAAAAACAAUAUAUUUUGGAUACAAACAGUUCUUUCUCAGGCAAAUAUUUUGCAAAUAUUGGCUACUAAUGCACUUUUCCUUUCUGGAUGAUGCAUUUUGCAGCAUAUAUUUUGAAAUAAUUUGAUAAAAUUCAGUUUAUUGUUUUUUUUUUUUUUACUUUCAUUCUAUCAACAGAACAAAACAAACAAAAACCAAACAAGCAAAAUUGUCUAAUCCAAUGCCACAAGAAUCUUCUAAUAUGUCCUUUUCUAGAAAUUUCACCCUGGGAUCAGUUCUUAAAUUAAAGGCAUGACACAUUUUGAGGUAAUUUUUAUAAAGUGUGAAGUAAGUGAUAAUAUAUGGGUUUAGCCUUCUUUUUUUUUCCCCUCUCAAAAUCACUCUGGAUAGAAGUUAAUCCACUUGAUUGUUCUAUACAAUCAGCUUUUGAUGUUAUUGAUAGAUAUAGUUUUCUUUUAAACAGGAUAAACAUAUCUAUCUUCUCAAAUUAUUAGAAGCUUAGAUUAUUGACUACAGAUUCAUAUUUGGUAAAUGAACAUUGAAUGUUUUAAAAUUUCUCCCAAGUAUUGCUUUAUUAGAGUUCCUACAGAUUUUAUGUGGUAAUUUCAUAUUCAUCCUAUUAUGGUUUGGAUAUGAAGUGUCCCCCCACCCAACUCCUGUGUUAAUACAGGAAUAUUCAGAGGUCAAAUGAUUGGAUUGUGGGCACUGUAUCCUAACCAGUCCAUGCUAGUUUGCGUGGACUACCUGGGUAGUAACUGUAGGCAGAUGGGAUGUACCUAGAAGAAGUGGGUUACUGGGGAUGUGCUCUGUAAUGGUUUGUCUUCCCCAGGGCCCCUUACCUCUUUCCCUCUUUCUCUGCUUCCUGGAUACCAUGUCCUGUUUUCCUCUGCUGUGCUCUUCUGCCAUGAUAUCCUGCUGGGUAACCUUGGGCCCAGAGCAGUGAAACUGACUUACCAUGGACUAAAUCACUGAAACCAUGAUCCAAAAUAAACUUUCCCUCCUCUAAGUUGUACUAGUUAGAUAAUUCAAUUGUUAUGGGCUGAUUUGAAAGUUAAGUCAGGCUGACCCCAUUCUGCUCUGACAUCUCACCCUGUGCAAAAUUUGCCCCCCAAAUUUGCCCCACUCACAUAGAAGCUGACAUCUUCACCCUCACCCACUUGCACCCUGACCACAGUGUCUUUAAACCAUGGAACAGAUAUUAGCUUACUUCCUGAGUAUGUAUAGAAGGUGCCAAUUCUGAGAACUUAGUGACACUUUAUAAAAUGUGUCUUAUGACUGUACUUGCCUAUCCCACCCCCUUCCUUAGUACUUUUUUUCUGUUUCUAAGUGCCCCCACUCACCCUCAUUCAGUGUCUUGGGCUGCAGAACUGUCUAGUUUCUGCUCCCUUGGCUCUGGCCAGAAUAAAUCCUUUGUCUUUACUUCAAACAGACCUGGAGUUUUAUUUGGGAUUUUGGAAUAGCACCUUAACACAAUAACAGCAACACAACUCUAACACACAUCCAAUUCAAAAUAUAUUAUAAUUUAGCCUCUUAUUUCUUUUUUGACAUGCAUGUUAUCUGGAGUUAUGUUGCCUAAUUGCCAAAUAAUUAAGAAUUUUCCAGAUAUUUUUUGUCAUUGAUAUUCUAUUAAAUUUUGUUGUGUUCAAGAAAUAUAUUCUGCAGGAUUUUAACUUUUUUAUUGAGAUUCGUUUUGUGAACCAUAGUAUAUUCUAUUUUGGAGAAUGAUUUUUGUAUACUUGAAGAGUGCUCAAUCCGCAGUUGUUUGGUGGAAUGCUUUGUCAAUGUCAAGCAGGAGAGGUUAGUAGGUAAUGCUUAUGUCUCCUAUAACCUUAAUAAUUUUCUUUCUACUUGUUCCUUCAGUUACUGAGAGAUGACUGUUGCAGUUUCCAAUUUAACUGGUAGGUAUGUCUAUCUUUUUUUUUAACCUUUACCAGUUUUGUUUUCUGUUUUAAAACUCAGUUAAUGUUAGUACAUUUUUAAUUUUUUAAAUUUUUAAUUAACACAAUAAUUACAGAUAUUUAUGGGUUAAUGUGUAAUAAUUCAAUACUAAUCAAAUCAGGAUAAGAAUUCCUUAUCUUUAUUUCUUUGUGUUUAGAGCCAUCAAACUCCUGUCUUCUAGUUCUUUGUCACGGUUUUGGUAUGAGUUGCUCCCCUAAAACCUCAUGUGUUAGGCAAUGUAGGAAUGUUCAGAAGUAAAAUGAUUAGAUUAUGAGAGCUGUAACCUCAUUGGUGGAUUAAUCCAUUUGAUAGACUGAUCAAAGAGACAACUGUAGCAGAUGGGGCAUGGUUUCUGGAAUAAUCCCCUGGGACUAUAUCUUGUCCCUGGUGUGUGUGUGUGUGUGUGUGUGUGUGAGCCCAAAAUAAACUUUUUCUUUUCUAAGUUGUUCUUGUCAUAUCUACUCACAACUAUGAAAAGAUGAAGAAUAUAGUCUUCAUAAAAUUUUGCCACAUACACAUCAGAUAGACCACUUAUCUCCAGGAUAUAAAAAGAACUCAAAAAACUUAACACCAAAAAAAACAAACAAUCCAAUCAAUAAAUGGGCUAUGGAGCUGAACAGACACUUCUCAGAAGAAGAUAUACAUUCAAUCAGCAAAUAUAUAUAAAAAAAGUUUAACAUCUCUAGUAAUUAGAGAAAUGCAAAUCAAAACUACUCUAAGAUUUCAUCUUAUCCCAGUCAGAAUGGCAGUUAUCAAGAAUACAAACAAUAAUAAAUGUUGGAGAGGAUGUGGUGGAAAAGGCACACUCAUACAUUGCUGGUGGGACAGCAAAUUGGUGCAACCACUAUGGAAAGCAGUAUGGAGAUUCCUUAGAAAACUGGGAAUGGAACCACCAUUUGACCCAGAUACCACACUCUUUGGUCUGUACCCAAAGGACACUGAGAACUUAGUGACACUUUUAAAAAUCAGCAUAGUAUAGUAACACAGAUAUAUUAGUGUUCAUAGGAGCUCAAUUCAUUAUAGCUAAACUGUGGAAGCAACCUAGAUGCCCUUUGUUGGCAGCAGGUCCACCCUGGCCCCUGGAGCCCUACCUCCACUAGUUUGUUCUGCAUGCCAGUGUGGCCAGCUCACAAGGCCAUGGCGAACUUGCGGUUUUUCUGUUCCUGCUUGUCCGUCUGAGACAUAUGUAUCCCACGGGAAUGCCUUGACCUUUUCUGGUCUGAUGGACUUAUUGUUAAGGGAGGUUUCGGUACCUGACAAUAAUAGAUGUUGAAACUAAAUUUCUCCCCCCUCCCUCCUGCUUUUGGGUAGUUUUCCACUUCUGCUGCUUGGGGUAUAAAAAAAGGUGUGUUAGCAAUAAAGAUUAUUAUUGACUCCUGGAUGAAGAACCUUGGUGUCCUGUGUGUCUUUUAACCUCGCCGUCCCUCGCCGGACUCGGCUCCCUUGGCCGGACGCGGCANNNNNNNNNNNNNNNNNNNNNNNNNNNNNNNNNNNNNNNNNNNNNNNNNNNNNNNNNNNNNNNNNNNNNNNNNNNNNNNNNNNNNNNNNNNNNNNNNNNNNNNNNNNNNNNNNNNNNNNNNNNNNNNNNNNNNNNNNNNNNNNNNNNNNNNNNNNNNNNNNNNNNNNNNNNNNNNNNNNNNNNNNNNNNNNNNNNNNNNNNNNNNNNNNNNNNNNNNNNNNNNNNNNNNNNNNNNNNNNNNNNNNNNNNNNNNNNNNNNNNNNNNNNNNNNNNNNNNNNNNNNNNNNNNNNNNNNNNNNNNNNNNNNNNNNNNNNNNNNNNNNNNNNNNNNNNNNNNNNNNNNNNNNNNNNNNNNNNNNNNNNNNNNNNNNNNNNNNNNNNNNNNNNNNNNNNNNNNNNNNNNNNNNNNNNNNNNNNNNNNNNNNNNNNNNNNNNNNNNNNNNNNNNNNNNNNNNNNNNAUUAUUUUUUGAACAUUUGAUUAUCUUUUAAAAGGAUUGAGGAAAUUGGAAAGCAUGUCUUUCAUAUGUACCUACCUACUUAUUAUUUCCAGUGUUCUUAAUUCUUUUGAGGAAACUGGUAUCAUUUCUUUGUUCUUAUGCCUGAACAACUUCCUGUAAAAUUUCUUUCUUUCUUCCUUUUUGUACCAGGCAUUGAACCCAGGGGCACUAAAUCACUGAGUCACAUCACCAGCCGUUUUAUGUUUUUUAUUUAGUGUCAGGGUCUCACUGAGUUGCUUAGGGCUUGCCAAGUUGCUGAGGCUGCCUUUGAACUCAUGAUCCUGCUGCUUCAGCUUCCUGAGCAUCUGGGAUUAUAGGCAUGAACCAACGUGCUUGGCUUGUACAAUUUCUUUUAUAGAAGAUAUGAUCCAAUGAAUUGUUUCUGUUUUAGCUUAUCUGAAAAAUAUUUCCACUUAACUUAUCAGUUAUAUUUUAAAUUUAUGAAAUAAAUUUUGAUUGAUAAGGAAUUCUAGGUUGAAAGUUUAUUCUUUCAAUGCUUUAAGAAGGUUACUGAAUUUCCUUGUCUUGGGGGUAGUUCCUGAUGAGAAGUCUAUGUUAAUUCUUCAUUCCUUUGUAUUUAACUAUAAAAUACUAAUCCAUUUAUUUGUUAGUAUUUUUUGUUGGCAUUUGUUGAGUUAUUUGUUGAUAUUUGUUGAGGUUUAUAAUUUUUGUCAAAUCUAUGACAUCUAUUGGUUAUCAUUUCUUCAAAAGCUUUAUUCUGUUCUCUUCUUCUUUUUUUAGUAUUUAAAAAAAUUUGUUCUAAUUAGUUAUACAUGACAGUAGAAUGCAUUUUGACACAUCAUACAUAAGUGGAGUGUAACUUCUCAUUCUUCUGGUUGUACGUGGUGUAGAAUCACACCAGCCCUGUAGUCAUAUAUGCAUAUAGGGUUAUAAAGUCUGAUUCAGGAGGUUAGGGAAGAAUAGAAGUUCUUUCUUCUUUUUAUGGUGCUUUAAUUAUAAAUGUUAGACUACUUGAUGUCAUCCUUGGGUCAUUAUGUCUCUAUUUGUUUUUCAAUGUUUUUACCACUGGUUCAUUUGGGAUAGCUUGUAUUUUGCUUUCAGGUUCAUUGAUAUUUUCUUUUGCAUUGUCUAAUCUGCUCUUCAUCCUACCCAAGGUAUUUUCUUUUACUUUAAAGUUAUAUCUGAGUCUGUUUUACAUCUUCACCAUAUUUAUGUUUUCUUCUACCUACUUGAUCACACAGAGAAUAUUUAUAACAGCUGCUUCAAUGCAUUUGUCUACUAAUUUAUCAUUUUGUUAUUUCUGCAUCUAUGGACUCAUUUUGUUUGUGUGUGUGUGUGUGUGUGUGUGUUGCUGGGAAUUGAACCCAGGGCCUUGUGCAUGUAAGGCAAGCACUCUACCAACUGAGCUAUAUCCCCAGCCCUAUGGACUAGUUUUCUUGUUUAUGUGUCAUUUAUUUCCCUGCUUGGUAAUUUUGAUCAGACAUCAGGCAUUUUUAAAUUUUGUAUUUUCCAGAAUUAAGUUUUGUUUUAUUAUUCCAAUGGUGCUGGACUUUGUUCAAGCACAUAUUUAUUUGGUUUUGGUUUUUUUUGCCUUCAGGGAAUGCUUUCAAGAUUUGUUAAGAAAAACCCAGAUCAACCUUUGAGGCACAUACCCCAGGGAGUUGUUUGCACACUACAAUAGGGCUUGAUCAGUGUCCCUUUUUACUUAGUGCUUUAUUCAUUUUGAUUUUUCCAAAUUUCAGUAUAAUGCAUACAUUUAUGGAAACUUCCACAAAUAUUCAUUGGCUGAAUAAACAGAGAAAUUGAUUUGCUUAAUUAAAGGAAAAGAAACUGCCUUUGAAUUAAAAACAUUUCUAAGUUUAUUUGUCAACAGGUAAAUAAAAUUACUAGUAGAUUACUGAUUGAGUUAAAACAUUUUUCUAACAAAUUUGCUGGAUUUAAUUUUGGCUAGAUUUGAAAAUAAUCAAUUCAAAGUUGUUCACAAAUAGGUGUUUUAAAGCGAAUACCUAGCUGGAUGUGAUGGAACAUGCCCGUAGUCACACCUACUGGGGCGGUUGACAUAGGAGAAUCUUUAAGUCUAAGGCCAUCCUCAGUAACAUAGUGAGACCCUGUCUCUAAAUAAAAUCAAAAGGAUUGGGAAUAUAGCUCAGUAUAAAAACACCCUUGGUUCAACCCCCAGUACCUCAAAAAAAAAAAAAAAAUUAAAAUGUGAGUAUCUAGAUACUAAAGUAGCUACAGGAGAGCAGAAAGAAUAUGAGUCUCCAAAAAAGAAAAUCUGAUUUAAAUAUAGAUUCCCAUACUUACUGGUUGAGUUGUCUUGAGCAAGUUACUAAUGACUUUAAGAGGUAAGCAAACUUUGGCCCAAGGGCCUGCCAUCUGUUUCAUGAGUAUGGUUUUAUUGGAAGACAACCACACUCAUUCUUUAAAUAUUGCCUUUAGCUGCAUUCAUGUGAAAGCAGCAGAAUUGAGCAGUGGUGACAGAGUCUGAAUGUCCCACAAGGUCUAAGAUAUUUACCUUCUUAUCUUUUAUUAAAAAAAAGUCUCCUGGCCUAGCAGUAGAGCCUCAUCUUCUUUACCUGUCUUUACGUGUAAAAAAGGGACAAUAGCUUCCAUUUCACAGGACUGUGGGAUGGGGGGGGGAUGGUGAUGGGAGGGUGGGGGGGAUGGGGGUGGCGAGGGGUUGGGGGGGGGAGGGUGGAAUGGGAGGGGAACCUUACUAUGUGCUGUGCUUAGCAUAUGGCCCUCCUGCAAAGACUUGUUAAAUUUGAAUAUGAACAUUCUAUCCUCUUCUGAAUACAAAGCUAUUUUCUUUCUAACCUUACAUUUAUGAGGUGAAACAAUUAUAUAUCAAAAAGUAGAAUUUCAUAUAAGAGCAUUGUGUUUUGCUUAGUCAUUAUGACUUUGUCAAACAAAAUAAACUUUACAUAUCUUUGUCAUAAAUAAUUUAAUAAUCAUAUUAGUCUUUGAACGCUGUGAUUAAUGCAGUGGGAAAUUCACAGACUGAAUACAAACAGAAAGGAGGCAGUGGAAUAUUUCUGAGUCUACAAGUGGUAAAGAUUAUUAUUUUCUUUGUGCAAUAGCAGACAUAAAAAGUUGUAAUACAAAUCAAAUUUCUUGGUGUUUCUUUCUUGAAUGACACUGUUAAAAAUAUGGGAUUAUUUGUUUUUUUCUGCACUUUAUAUUUAGAAAUACAUUGCAUGAAAAAUGAAAAGGUAAUUCAGAAACAAAAAUAACUAGGAAUAUUUUACAUAAAAGACUGUUCCAUCAGCUGUGUAUUGUAAUUCUCAGCUACUGAUAUGGAUUGUGGCAAGAAGGUAAAUACCAAAAGGCAAGUCAAAAGAAGGUAUUUACUGCUUAUAGAAUUACUUUUAUUAAAUUGUGCUCUGUAGGGAUUAUCACUAUAUACUGAGGUAAAAUACAAGAACAUUAUUGGACAUACCCUAUCUGGUCUUAGUGCAAUAAUCAUUGUACUUGUCCUGACAAAUUGCUGGCUUUAUAUUAUAGACACAGUGCUUUAAGUAAUUGAUUAGGUUUCCAUGUUUUAGUGAAUCUGAUAGAAUACUUAGAGCCAGACUGUGACUCAGCUAUAGCAAUCAUAUAGAUCUUGCAAAGUAUAUUUUAGCAUCAUUCCUAUUUGGAUUUUAUGUUCUUUGUCUUUUCUUUUACUCUGCUUCUAUUUAUGCUAUUUAAAUGUGUUUUAUGUAAUUUUGCAAGCCACAUUCAAUCCUUUCUAAAAAAACAUUGAAUAUAAAUAGGUAGGUAAUAGGAAGUAAGUUGCCAAGGUAAUUUUCAGAGAAGUGCUGAUAUUCUUUUUGGUUUUCUCCUUCAAAUAACUGAUAAAUAACAUAAUAACAUCACUCCUAGCUUACCACUUCAUAAAUCUCACAAUUUAAAGCAAAACUCUUAGGCAUAUCAGUUGCUUAGAACUCUAUAUCACAUACACACACAGAAAAAAAGGAAAUAAUUUUUAUUGCAACUGAUUCACUAAUUUUAAACUAAGCCAAUGAUUUAAAGACAAAUUCUCUCCUAAAUAUCAAAAGAAGUUAUACUUAUGGUCUAUAUUUGGGCCAUCAGUCACAUCAAUUUUAUUUGCUUGGUAAAGAUGUUUGGAAGUAGUUACAUUCAAAAAAGCUAUGUAAGUAGAAGUACAAAAAAGACAUUUUUUAUGUAUGCAAAAUCCCAAAUUAUUCAUUAAACUACCUAGGCAUUUGUUAAGCACUGACCAUGUGUUAAGUACUAUUCUCAGCAGUGUGGAUGUAGCAAUGAAUAAAAUAGGACACUUUCCUUGUGAUAUCUUUGAGAAGACCUGUAUUAUAGUAGAUGGUUCUCCAAGAGUUGAGAAACACAUGGAAUAAAUUUAUAGUAACUUUGAUAGGGGACAGACAGAUGUAAGUGGUGGGAACAUUAAGGGAAUGAUUCUAUAAAAUAGACCCACUGUGUUGACUCCCACCUGCUUUCCUUUCCAGGAAGCAAUUUACCUCCGACACUAGCUGACUUAAAUGGACAGGAUAUGUCACGUUCCCCAGCAAAUACCUGUUACCUGCAGGAGAAAUGCAGCCUUCAAAGAAUUCCCAUGAAAGGAACACAAGUACCCUGAAGGAGAGAAUUUUGUGACCCUCUCACAGACUAGAUCCUGAAACUUAGGGAAAUAAAGGUAAUUAUCCCUAAACAUGAUGUGUGUAAAAACAAAUUCCCCAAUUAGAACUCAUCAGUAUGAGCCAGAAUGACCUAGAGUUGUCAUGCACAGUGGGGACUUGAAUGAAAGUCUGCUAUCAUCUGCCGUCAUCAAAAGUCAAGAAGUGGACCUGUGUGGACUCUCUGGAAACUUCCCUGGGAUUCCCAAUUAAACUGGAGGGCAGGAGAGACAUGGUGUCCCUUUUCUGUCUGAGAAUAUCUACUCUCUCCUUUAAGAAUGUCCCCUUUCCCCCUUUCCCAUCCCUUCUAAUAAAUUUAUGAUGGUUCCUCUGAGUGACA